This 301-nucleotide ribosomal RNA is filed under the name uncultured bacterium. Its description in RNAcentral is "partial 16S ribosomal RNA". It matches the Rfam family "Bacterial small subunit ribosomal RNA", at positions 509 to 807 of the family's 1533-position model. The record is from RNAcentral.
CAGUAGCCACGGGAACACAGAGGAUGCAAGCGUUAUCCGGAAUGAUUGGGCAUAAAGCGUCUGUAGGUAGCUUCUCAAGUCUGCUGUCAAAUCCCAGGGCUCAACCCUUGACAGGUGGUGGAAACUACCAAGCUGGAGUACGAUAGGGGUAGAGGGAAUUUCUGGUGGAGUGGUGAAAUGCGUUGAGAUCGGAAAGAACACCAACGGCGAAAGCACUCUGCUGGGCCGACACUGACACUGAGAGACGAAAGCUAGGGGAGCAAAUGGGAUUAGAUACCCCCGUAGUCCCUGUCUCUUAUAC